Paramacrobiotus metropolitanus is the source of this 930-nucleotide long non-coding RNA. RefSeq lists it as uncharacterized. NCBI's taxonomy places the organism in Eukaryota, Metazoa, Tardigrada, Eutardigrada, Parachela, Macrobiotidae. The record is from RefSeq and is a predicted model, not a curated record. The transcript has 3 exons.
AAGCUUAAGCACGCGUCGGAUAUAUAAAUGACACUAAGUGACUAACAAGUAACAAGUAAAUCUUAUAAUGAGUUUUAAAUUGAAAUCGUUUGCAAAAUCUGGAUGACGUAUGACGUUUAUGCAGUUAUUGUUAAUAUCAUUCUGAAUAUUAAGAAAAAUCUGAUACUUCGUGGACAACAAAGUCGUAUGGGUUUGGAAAUCCGAGCUUUUAGACCAUGCUGCAUGUAAUAUCAGCGCCCGUGGGUCCACAAAGAAACUCGGCGUACGAUAGUCCCUGUUUGUGCUCUGGAUGUGGUGCAUCACGAAAGCGUGAGAGAGAAUGCUGUACGAGUGCGUUGCAAUUUUAAUCAUAUCCCUGACUGUGGCUGGAUAUUUGGCACACAGCAGCUAUUUCUCGUCUUACCCUUUUUUAUCGGAACCUCUGGAGCAUCCUAUAAACGGCACAACCGACUUUGACCAAAAUCUGGAAGCCGCAAUCGAGAAUGCAAGAAAUACCAUACCUCGACCAACUGAACGAACCGCUCUUCCGAUCAAUUCCAACCACACCGCCCAACCAUUACUGGAGAUCGGCAACAUUCUGAAGAUUGUGACGGAUCCGGAGGAUUCUGGAGAUGGGGAAGGUUCCUGGUUAUCUACUCUCGAUUCCUGCCUGAAAAGUCUCGUGUGGGUCGCUGCUGGAGCAUGUGUACGGGCCAUAUUCGGGCCAUCAUUUGUUGAUUUUUUAGUUAAACUUGGUGUAGUGAGUGCCGUUGCAGGCGCAUUAUACUUGCUGUACUACCGCUGCACAUUGAUUUUAAUUUUUGGACGUGGCCUUAUGCAAUGUGAAUGCAAUUGCACAGAGCCGGGGAAUUCUUAUUCUCUGUAGGGUUGUCUACAAGCCGCAUUUUUUGUUUCCCCUUUUGGUGAAAAAAAAUCAAGAAAGAUGAAAAU